UGACUCAUUUCUGAUAAGUUUUUUCUCUUUUCAAUUUCGACUCCCGUUGAGAAUAGAUACGCGAUAUAAUUUUCAUCGCUUGCUUUUAUUACAAUUUUGUUAUCGUUAGUCCUGAAGAUGCCAAUAAAUUUUGGCGAAACGUCGACAAUUUAAACAAACGUGUUUUUUACUUGUGACCAGAAAAUUGAAUAACAUCCCUGAACAUCGGGUUAUCACGAUGAAACAUCAAUCUGCGAACAUAUCAUCUAUCAAAAUUUGUGUAACUCUCUGAUCAUGCUAGCAGCCGACAAGUUCUCAUUUCUUAUGCAGAGGCCGGAUAUAUAAGUGUCGUGCUUCGAUCCAUUUGUUAUUUCGUUUUUAAGUUAUCUUUUCUAGGGUGUAAUCGAGCUCAGGUUACUUAGGAAGGCUAUUUAUGGCUAGGUAAAUAAAAUAUUUUCAUCAAUUAAAA
Long non-coding RNA from Bradysia coprophila, 448 nucleotides. RefSeq lists it as uncharacterized. NCBI's taxonomy places the organism in Eukaryota, Metazoa, Arthropoda, Insecta, Diptera, Sciaridae. The record is from RefSeq and is a predicted model, not a curated record.